CGUGACAUCAUCACAGGUCCUUCACUUCCUCCUGCAGCACAGAGGAGGACACGCUCCGUCCAGGUUUCUACAAUAUAGAAUCUCACUGGAUAUAUUGUUGACCCGUCAAGGAUGGAUAGGGACAGGGACAAGAUGGCGGAGAGUAUAAUAAAUCUCACCCUAGAGAUCCUUUUCCGGCUUACUGGAGAGGACUACACAGUAGUGAAGAAGACCUCUAGUGGGCGCUGUCAGGACCCUGUGUCUGAA
Bufo gargarizans (Asiatic toad) is the source of this 246-nucleotide long non-coding RNA. RefSeq lists it as uncharacterized. NCBI's taxonomy places the organism in Eukaryota, Metazoa, Chordata, Amphibia, Anura, Bufonidae. The transcript has 3 exons. The record is from RefSeq and is a predicted model, not a curated record.